This 497-nucleotide ribosomal RNA is filed under the name uncultured bacterium. RNAcentral's name for it is "partial 16S ribosomal RNA". It matches the Rfam family "Bacterial small subunit ribosomal RNA", at positions 28 to 507 of the family's 1533-position model. The record is from RNAcentral.
GAUGAACGCUGGCGGCGUGCCUAAUACAUGCAAGUCGAGCGGAAAGACGAGAAGGUUGCGUCUCUGAGGUUAGCGGGGGAGGGGAGCGUAAGACGAAGAUACCCUUGCUAUUGGAAUGGGAUCACUUAGGGAGACCGGAGAUCAUACCGGAGCAUCUUCUGCACCGCAGGGGUUAAAAGGGAACGACGGUCGUGGUGUCACUUGUAGAUGGAUCCGCGCUGCAUUGGCUAGUUGGUAAGGUAACGGGUUACCAAGACAAGGAUGCGUAGCCCACCUGAGAGGGUGAUCGGCCACCCUGGAGCGGAGACGCGGACCAGACUCCUACGGGAGGCAGCAGUAGGGAAUCGUCCGCAAUGGGCGAAAGCCUGACGGAGCGACGCCGCGUGAGUGAUGAAGGUCUUCGGAUCGUAAAACUCUGUUAUUAGGUAAGAACAUAUGUGUAAGUAACUGUGCACAUCUUGACGGUACCGAAUCAGAAAGCAACGGCUAACUACGUG